UACGGAGGGUGCAAGCGUUAUUCGGAAUUACUGGGCGUAAAGCGCGUGUAGGCUGCUCGGAAAGUCGGAUGUGAAAGCCCUGGGCUUAACCCAGGAAGUGCAUUCGAAACUUCCGAGCUCGAGUCCUGGAGAGGGUGGCGGAAUUCUCGGUGUAGAGGUGAAAUUCGUAGAUAUCGAGAGGAACACCGGUGGCGAAGGCGGCUACCUGGACAGUGACUGACGCUGAGACGCGAAAGCGUGGGGAGCAAACAGG
Molecule: ribosomal RNA, 253 nt
Filed under: uncultured bacterium
Lineage: Bacteria
Description: partial 16S ribosomal RNA
Rfam family: Bacterial small subunit ribosomal RNA
Source: RNAcentral